RNAcentral lists this transfer RNA (358 nucleotides) under uncultured Microcystis sp. RNAcentral's name for it is "partial 16S-23S ribosomal RNA intergenic spacer". The stretch from base 135 to 208 matches the Rfam family "tRNA". Lineage: Bacteria; Bacillati; Cyanobacteriota; Cyanophyceae; Chroococcales; Microcystaceae. The record is from RNAcentral.
AAGGGAGACCUAAUUCCGGUAGGAGACGAAAAAAAAGUAGUCCCUACCAAGAAUCAAUCCCAAAAGGUCGAAGCGAGGCAAGAUUGGCUUUCAAACUAGGUUCUGGGUUCAAACAAGACCUGAAUCAGGAACAAGGGCUAUUAGCUCAGGUGGUUAGAGCGCACCCCUGAUAAGGGUGAGGUCCCUGGUUCGAGUCCAGGAUGGCCCACCUGCACAGGUGGCAAAAACAAAGAAGCGAGGAAUCAGCACCUUAUCUUACUCAUAUAGUAAGAGAGAAUGCUGGCUCUGAGUAAAGAGUGCAGAGGAACCUUGAAAACUGCAUAGAGCUAGGUGAAAAAGCCAAAAAAGAAGACCGCAA